GGGCGUAUAGCUCAGUUGGCUAGAGCGCAGCCCUGAUAAGGCUGAGGUCUCUGGUUCGAAUCCAGAUACGCCCA
This 74-nucleotide transfer RNA is filed under the name Planctomycetota bacterium. RNAcentral describes it as "Planctomycetes bacterium tRNA-Ile". It matches the Rfam family "tRNA". From Rfam's summary of the family: Transfer RNA (tRNA) molecules are approximately 80 nucleotides in length. Their secondary structure includes four short double-helical elements and three loops (D, anti-codon, and T loops). Further hydrogen bonds mediate the characteristic L-shaped molecular structure. tRNAs have two regions of fundamental functional importance: the anti-codon, which is responsible for specific mRNA codon recognition, and the 3' end, to which the tRNAs corresponding amino acid is attached (by aminoacyl-tRNA synthetases). tRNAs cope with the degeneracy of the genetic code in two manners: having more than one tRNA (with a specific anti-codon) for a particular amino acid; and 'wobble' base-pairing, i.e. permitting non-standard base-pairing at the 3rd anti-codon position. Lineage: Bacteria; Pseudomonadati; Planctomycetota. The record is from RNAcentral. RNAcentral also lists the same sequence under 1 other name.